GGCCAAUGAUGCAUAAAGUAUUUGCUACUCUUGAAUAUAGCUGAUGAUAAAUAUCACCAAAAUUUCUGAGGCC
Molecule: small nucleolar RNA, 73 nt
Organism: Pocillopora damicornis (cauliflower coral)
Lineage: Eukaryota; Metazoa; Cnidaria; Anthozoa; Scleractinia; Pocilloporidae
Product: small nucleolar RNA SNORD24
Source: RefSeq, a predicted model, not a curated record